UAGCUAGUUGGUGAGGUAAAGGCUUACCAAGGCGACGAUCUGUAGCGGGUCUGAGAGGAUGAUCCGCCACACUGGAACUGAGACACGGUCCAGACUCCUACGGGAGGCAGCAGUGGGGAAUUUUGGACAAUGGGGGCAACCCUGAUCCAGCCAUGCCGCGUGAGUGAAGAAGGCCUUCGGGUUGUAAAGCUCUUUCGGCCGGGAAGAAAUCGCAUGGGCCAAUACCCUGUGUGGAUGACGGUACCGGAAUAAGAAGCACCGGCUAACUACGUGCCAGCAGCCGCGGUAAUACGUAGGGUGCGAGCGUUAAUCGGAAUUACUGGGCGUAAAGCGUGCGCAGGCGGUUUUGUAAGACAGGCGUGAAAUCCCCGGGCUUAACCUGGGAACUGCGUUUGUGACUGCAAGGCUAGAGUACGGCAGAGGGGGGUGGAAUUCCACGUGUAGCAGUGAAAUGCGUAGAGAUGUGGAGGAACACCAAUGGCGAAGGCAGCCCCCUGGGUCGAUACUGACGCUCAUGCACGAAAGCGUGGGUAGCAAACAGGAUUAGAUACCCUGGUAGUCCACGCCCUAAACUAUGUCAACUAGGUGUUGGGUGGGUAAAACCAUUUAGUACCGUAGCUAACGCGUGAAGUUGACCGCCUGGGGAGUACGGCCGCAAGGUUAAAACUCAAAGGAAUUGACGGGGACCCGCACAAGCGGUGGAUGAUGUGGAUUAAUUCGAUGCAACGCGAAAAACCUUACCUACCCUUGACAUGCCAGGAACUUGCCAGAGAUGGCUUGGUGCCCGAAAGGGAGCCUGGACACAGGUGCUGCAUGGCUGUCGUCAGCUCGUGUCGUGAGAUGUUGGGUUAAGUCCCGCAACGAGCGCAACCCUUGUCGUUAAUUGCCAUCAUUUAGUUGGGCACUUUAACGAGACUGCCGGUGACAAACCGGAGGAAGGUGGGGAUGACGUCAAGUCCUCAUGGCCCUUAUGGGUAGGGCUUCACACGUCAUACAAUGGUCGGUACAAAGGGUUGCCAAGCCGCGAGGCGGAGCCAAUCCCAGAAAGCCGAUCGUAGUCCGGAUUGCAGGCUGCAACUCGCCUGCAUGAAGUCGGAAUCGCUAGUAAUCGUGGAUCAGCAUGUCACGGUGAAUACGUUCCCGGGUCUUGUACACACCGCCCGUCACACCAUGGGAGCGGGUUCCGCCAGAAGUAGGUAGCCUAACCGCAAGGGGGGCGCUUACCACGGCGGGGUUCGUGACUGGGGUGAAGUCGUAACAAGGUAGCCGUAGGGGAACCUGCGGCUG
This 1287-nucleotide ribosomal RNA is filed under the name metagenome. RNAcentral describes it as "bacterial SSU rRNA". It matches the Rfam family "Bacterial small subunit ribosomal RNA", at positions 242 to 1520 of the family's 1533-position model. The record is from RNAcentral.